UUUUUUGAGAGUUUGAUCCUGGCUCAGGAUGAACGCUGGCGGCGUGCCUUAAGCAUGCAAGUCGAACGGAAAAGUAAUUCUCGCAAGAGAAAAAUAGAUCAGUGGCGGACGGGUGAGUAGAAGCAGGGAACGUACCCUUUACUGUGGGACAGCUCGUCGAAAGACGGGGUAAUACCGCAUGAGGCCGUAAGGUCAAAGACCGCAAGGUCGGUGGAGGAGCGGCCCUGCACUUAUCAGCUAGUUGGUGGGGUAAAGGCCUACCAAGGCGACGACGAGUAGGGGGUGUGAGAGCAUGACCCCCCACAAUGGCACUGAGACACGGGCCAUACAUCUACGGAUGGCAGCAACUGGGAAUAUUCGGCAAUGGACGAAAGUCUGACCGAGCGACGCCGCGUGAGGGAUGAAGUAUUUCGGUAUGUAAACCUCUUUUAUAUAGCCGUCGAGGCUAUAAGAAUAAGCACCUACAAACUACGUGCCAGCAGUCGCGGUAAUACGUAGGGUGCAAGCGUUAUCCGGAUUCACUGGGCGUAAAGAGUAGUGUAGGUGGUAGACCGCAUCGUACUUGAAAGCCCGAGGCUUAACCUCGGCGUUGGGUACGAGAUGGGUAUACUCGAGGGUGAGAGAGGAAAGGGGAACUCAUGGUGGAGCGGUGAAAUGCGUUGAGAUCAUGAGGAACACCAAAGGCGAAGGCACCUUUCUGGGUCAUUCCUGACACUGAGACACGAAAGCUAGAGGAGAGAAGCAGAUUAGAGACCUGCGUAUUUCUAGCCCUAAACGCAUGCCUGCUAGAUACCCCGUUCUGCGGGGCGACG
RNAcentral lists this ribosomal RNA (812 nucleotides) under Candidatus Woesebacteria bacterium. Its description in RNAcentral is "bacterial SSU rRNA". It matches the Rfam family "Bacterial small subunit ribosomal RNA", at positions 1 to 848 of the family's 1533-position model. Lineage: Bacteria; Candidatus Woeseibacteriota. The record is from RNAcentral.